Molecule: ribosomal RNA, 263 nt
Filed under: uncultured bacterium
Lineage: Bacteria
Description: partial 16S ribosomal RNA
Rfam family: Bacterial small subunit ribosomal RNA
Source: RNAcentral
GUCCACGCUGUAAACGAUGGGCACUAGGUGUUCGGGUAUUGACCCCCUGGGUGCCGCAGCUAACGCAUUAAGUGCCCCGCCUGGGGACUACGGCCGCAAGGUUAAAACUCAAAGGAAUUGACGGGGCCCGCACAAGCGGUGGAGCAUGUGGUUCAAUUCGACGCAACGCGAAGAACCUUACCUGGGCUAGACAACGUCGGACAGCCCCAGAAAUGGGGUCUUCCCGCAAGGGACUGGCGGUUCAGGUGCUGCAUGGCUGUCGU